Molecule: ribosomal RNA, 3265 nt
Filed under: Triticum aestivum (bread wheat)
Lineage: Eukaryota; Viridiplantae; Streptophyta; Magnoliopsida; Poales; Poaceae
Description: partial small subunit ribosomal RNA
Source: RNAcentral
GCCUCCCUCAUAUUGUCAACAUGUCCACUUUCUGAGGCCGCUUAUCCAUAGGUCAUAGGUCGAGUACCUACCGUAACACAGGUAGGAGUUGGAACCCUAGCCGAAUCUCGUGGUUGUCGGCGUAUUUUUAAAGCGCGGGUUAUCAUCAAUAUUGCACAGUGACAUCGUGAAAAUUACGCAGCCCUGGUUGUAACGAAAUCGUCUGCGGGUUUUUGUACGCAGGUUUUUUGUGCAUCACAUUUAAUACUUCGCAAGCGUUAGCUUUCGGGUUUUAUACGACGCGCGCUAUCGCAAAAAAUCGAGUACGGAUUUUUAAAAAUCGCGCACGUGAUAAAAUGUCGUGGACGACUUCGAAAAGCCGCGGGUUUUUUUUAUAAAAAAUCGCGCACCUCGAAAAGAACCUGCGGACAACCUCUAGGAGAAAGUAUUCAAUGUUUCGUUGGCAACUAUACCUCGACCUCAACUGCCUAGGCUCCCUCGGUUUAUCGCGGUGAACACGCUUGAGUCGCUUCCUAGCCUAUCUUAACGAAUCGGUAUCUACUACUUUAGAGCAAGGUAAUAAGAAGUUUCUUUUGUAACCCAUCGAAAGUUUGACAGUUGAGCGUAACGAAGGCAGCUUUGUAGCUGAUUACGACGUAGGUAGUCGUAGCUGUAGGGUAACAAAAGACGCGGAAGUCCCGUUAUUCCAUGUGGCAACGAAGGGCGGCCGGGGUUUAAGGCACAAUGAAGGCCGGCAUCUGGAGACGGCAGCAACCGGUACCUGCGGAGGCUCAGGCUCAGGAGCGGAGACGUACAGCAGUAGAAGGGCACCGAGCGGUACCCGGUGGACGACGGGACGGAGCUCGAGCGGCUCGCGGACCGGCGUGCCCCGGUGGCGCACAGGAAGCAGAGGUGCGGCGCGUUGGAGCGGGCGGAGGGCGGCCAGGCAGGGCGCGACCGCAGCGAGCAGGUGGAGCAGCGCGACGGCGAGGGCGCGCAGCGGCCGGAGGGCCUGCCGCGGCUCAGGUGGUCGCUGCAGGGCGGGCUGUUCAAGGUGGAGGUAUCCCACCGCAAGCUGCCGGAGCGGCGUGGCAAGUGCCGGAAGGAGCUACGGCGAACGCGGCCGCCGUCCUCCGGGCUGACCCAGCACCGGCUGAAGCACGUGGUGACCCAGCGGCGACACCGGGUUCGGGCGUUCCACGGCACGCGGUACGAAGAGGGCACGCGACGACCGCAGCGCCGGAACAGGCCGGGCGGCGGCCUCAGGGCUCGCCUCCUUGUAGUUCGCCAGAGGUCCAGGUACCUGCGUCGCGGCUCCAAGCUCCGACUCGACUGGUGCCUCCUCAAGCGGCGUCUUCUGCGGAGCCCCAACAGGUAGUACCCGGCGAAGAAAUACUGCAACUUCUCCAGGUUCGAGCAGCGGGAAGCCUCGUCGGGUCUUGACCUCGGGCUGCGCAAGGGCGAGGACUGCUCCGAGAUGCCGUUCGGCCGGCAGGGCGAGCCGGACGAAGGCGGCGGCGGGUUGCCUCUGGCGUCGCGGUCGCUCUUGAGGCUCCUGCAACGCUAGUAAGUCACCGAGCUGCGCGCCGGCCGGUUCAGCCACCAGAUGCACCGCAACCCUUCGCUCCGCGGCAACGCGCGGCUCGACGAGGCGCUCGACCGGGUGCCCGACCUCGAGAGGCCUUGCGCGAAGGAGACCCAGGAUUCCUUAGGGCAGUUGCCGCUGCGCCUGUGGUAGGAUGGUCUGCCGAAGUACCUCGCGUGGCGGCUCGCACCCGAACACCGCCACGCCACCCAAGGAGUCCACUCGUAUGACCGCGUGCCGCGCCACCCGCGCAAGAACUGCGUGACGCCCACCCCAAGCCAGCACCUCCCCGAGGUCAAGCCCGUGGGGGACUAGUACGACGGCGAGCGGCCACUGGUCCCGGGGUUGCGCGCCGAGUACCUCCUCUCCUUCCAGCCCCACGACCACGGCUCUCUGCUCUUCCUACCCAGCAAAUGGGCCCUGCCGCAGCGGCCUCGACAAGCCCGGCAACAACACCUCCUCCCCCCUUCCCACAAGCGCCUGUUACGGUUCUCCGACGUUCCGUAGCACCGCUCGCACCUCACGUUGCUCUCCACGUAGCUGAACAAACAAGUCGUGAAUGCUAGAACAUCCUUGAUCCCUCCCAUUCUUAAAAAAACUCGAUAGAUGAUGGAGACAUGACUUCAUGAAGAUCAACCCUCCUUGAAGCUUUUAAGCAACCGCACCUGCUCGAGCGGACGAGCGCAAUAGACGUUCGCAGCCAGGAGCAGCCCUAUACCUUGCGUGCGACAUAACGUCGAGCAUCUGCUGCUGAGUAAAUUACUCACUGCGCCUGCCCUUCUCUUUCAAACAUGCCACGCCCACUGCCUGCAACUCCGCGAUCCGCCGGCAAAAGUAGUACAUCGUUACACAUAGGGACGAUCUGACUUAAGACGAUCUGACUUAAGGCGAGCCCAGCUGGAUGGAUGAGGUAAUUUGAGGGGUAGAUAGUAGCUGCCGCCGAGUCAGAUAUUAUCAGGUAGGGGUUUAGCUUCCUUGCUUGGGAUCAACGUGUGACAAGAAUUAUCUGGGGGUUUAGCCUCGUUCCUUGUCGUCGGUGAUUUGGGAUCAAAAACGUAUCUAAAGAAGUCUAAACAAGUUGUAGUGAACAGACUUGGGAGAAGCGGCCAGUUGCUGUCGGCAGUCCACCACCUACGCUAAAGAUGUUCAUCGUUCGCAUGCGGCUGAUGGAGCGCAGCGGCACAGGUCGGCGUGGGGGUAACCGCGUUUAGCUCGGUCCUAUUCUCGUUCCGCCGGUUCGAAACCCUCAAGUUCUAGAUGUCCACGGUGUGCGUGGUGUGGUGUCCCGUCGUCUUGCCGUACGGCCCCCGUGGGUCAAGCAAAGAAGUCAGUCGCGGCGACGUCCUAUGUACGAGCGGCGCGAAGGUCGACGACCCGCGGUCCCUUGGUAACCGCAACUGCGACGUAGGUAGUUAGACCACCAGAGGCUCCGGUUGGAACAGUGAACCCACGUUUUCACGAACCCACCGUUAGGAACACAACCAACACCAGUACGUGCACGCACCAAUCCGCGGUCGACGCUUAUCUCGUGCCGCAUAGUAACAUGGACGUUUAGUUCAUAAUACUACAGACAUAGUAACCAAUCGUCGGUUCACAUAUUACCACAUUCGCGUCGAUACCACAACGACUACCGCUUGAAAACAUUACUAGUUCAAAUUCGACACACUACAUCAGAGCAAACACGUUGAUUAUUAUAAUUAC